GAUGAACGCUAGCGGCAGGCUUAACACAUGCAAGUCGAGGGGGUAACAUAGAAAAGCUUGCUUUUCUGAUGACGACCGGCGCACGGGUGCGUAACGCGUAUACAACCUACCUUUUAGCGGGGAAUAGCCCAGGGAAACUUGGAUUAAUGCCCCAUAGUAUAUAGACUUCUCCUGAAGUUUAUAUUAAACAUUUAUGGCUAUUAGAUGGGUAUGCGUCCUAUUAGUUAGUUGGUAAGGUAACGGCUUACCAAGGCAGCGAUAGGUAGGGGUCCUGAGAGGGAGAUCCCCACACUGGUACUGAGACACGGACCAGACUCCUACGGGAGGCAGCAGUGAGGAAUAUUGGACAAUGGGCGAGAGCCUGAUCCAGCCAUGCCGCGUGCAGGAAGACUGCCCUAUGGGUUGUAAACUGUCUUUUACAGAGGAAGAACCCACCCCACGUGUGGGGGUUUGACGGUACUCUGCGAAUAAGGAUCGGCUAACUCCGUG
Molecule: ribosomal RNA, 489 nt
Filed under: uncultured bacterium
Lineage: Bacteria
Description: bacterial SSU rRNA
Rfam family: Bacterial small subunit ribosomal RNA
Source: RNAcentral